CGAGGUGGUUGGUCGGUUCGUCGAGGAGCAGCAGAUUCGGCUUCUGCCAGAUGAUGAGCGCGAGUGCGAGUCGCGCCUUUUCGCC
This 85-nucleotide transfer RNA is filed under the name Burkholderia oklahomensis. RNAcentral's name for it is "tRNA-Pro(cgg)". Lineage: Bacteria; Pseudomonadati; Pseudomonadota; Betaproteobacteria; Burkholderiales; Burkholderiaceae. The record is from RNAcentral.